UUGUGCCAGCCGCCGCGUAAUUCCAGCUCCAAUAGCGUAUAUUAAAGUUGUUGUGGUUAAAAAGCUCGUAGUUGAACCUUGGGCCUGGCUGGCCGGUCCGCCUCACCGCGUGCACUGGUCCGGCCGGGCCUUUCCCUCUGUGGAACCCCAUACCCUUCACUGGGCGUGGCGGGGAAACAGGACAUUUACUUUGAAAAAAUUAGAGUGCUCCAGGCAGGCCUAUGCUCGAAUACAUUAGCAUGGAAUAAUAAAAUAGGACGCGCGGUUCUAUUUUGUUGGUUUAUAGGACCGCCGUAAUGAUUAAUAGGGACAGUCGGGGGCAUCAGUAUUCAACUGUCAGAGGUGAAAUUCUUGGAUCAGUUGAAGACUAACUACUGCGAAAGCAUUUGCCAAGGAUGUUUUCAUUAAUCAGGAACGAAAGUUAGGGGAUCGAAGACGAUCAGAUACCGUCGUAGUCUUAACCAUAAACUAUGCCGACUAGGGAUCGGACGGUGUUAUUCAUGACCCGUUCGGCACCUUACGAGAAAUCAAAGUGCUUGGGCUCCAGGGGGAGUAUGGUCGCAAGGCUGAAACUUAAAGAAAUUGACGGAAGGGCACCACCAGGGGUGGAGCCUGCGGCUUAAUUUGACUCAACACGGGGAAACUCACCAGGUCCAGACACAAUAAGGAUUGACAGAUUGAGAGCUCUUUCUGAUUUGUGGUGGUGUGCAUGGCCGUUCUUAGUGUGGGUGACUGUCUGCUUAAUUGCGAUACGAACGAGACCUUAACCUGCUAAAUAGCCCGCAUUGCUCCGGCAGUGCGCUGGC
RNAcentral lists this ribosomal RNA (806 nucleotides) under uncultured fungus. RNAcentral's name for it is "SSU rRNA". It matches the Rfam family "Eukaryotic small subunit ribosomal RNA", at positions 562 to 1385 of the family's 1831-position model. Lineage: Eukaryota; Fungi. The record is from RNAcentral.